AUAAUCCUCCAGACCCAAAACCA
This 23-nucleotide small nuclear RNA is filed under the name Arabidopsis thaliana (thale cress). Its description in RNAcentral is "snRNA_09639". The record is from RNAcentral. Lineage: Eukaryota; Viridiplantae; Streptophyta; Magnoliopsida; Brassicales; Brassicaceae.